RNAcentral lists this long non-coding RNA (275 nucleotides) under Nicotiana benthamiana. RNAcentral describes it as "long non-coding RNA (NBEN_LNC024555)". Lineage: Eukaryota; Viridiplantae; Streptophyta; Magnoliopsida; Solanales; Solanaceae. The record is from RNAcentral.
UAAAAUUCAGCUCACAUGUGGCUUGACAUUGGAGUGAAAUGAAAUAUGGAGUUCCAAAUAUGGCUUCUACAUACUCAAAUCCAUUAGUUUAGUUUUAGUUUUUAUGGUCUUGAAGUUAAUUGAUGCAUUGUAUGUUCAACAUGAUAGUUAUUAGUCAGUUUGCAGCUGGUAUGAAGUUAGUGAAGCACUUGUAGUUAAAUUUUGCUUGCUUUUGAGAUUCUUACUGCUAUAGUUGGCUUCAGACUGUUAAGAAAUGGGAGUUGAUGAGAAUAAUG